This is a long non-coding RNA of Oncorhynchus masou masou (cherry salmon), 229 nucleotides long. RefSeq lists it as uncharacterized. The transcript is spliced from 3 exons. Lineage: Eukaryota; Metazoa; Chordata; Actinopteri; Salmoniformes; Salmonidae. The record is from RefSeq and is a predicted model, not a curated record.
AGGGCAUCAGGGGAUUCACAGGGCUGAAGGGUGAUGUCGGCCUGCCAGGUGAUCGCGGUGAUGAUAACGACCAGCCAGGUCGGGGAGGACUCCAGGGGCCAAAAGGAUACCCUGGUCUCACAGGAGAGAAUGGAUCACCAGGCCCAGUGGGCCAUCCGGGGGCAGACGUGAGUAACUCUUAAAUAAUGGAGCAAUUGUGGGUGAUGGGAAGGAGCCAAAGUCCAACACA